UGGGGAAUAUUGCACAAUGGGCGCAAGCCUGAUGCAGCAACGCCGCGUGAGGGACGACGGCCUUCGGGUUGUAAACCUCUUUUAGUAGGGAAGAAGCGAAAGUGACGGUACCUGCAGAAAAAGCACCGGCUAACUACGUGCCAGCAGCCGCGGUAAUACGUAGGGUGCGAGCGUUGUCCGGAAUUAUUGGGCGUAAAGAGCUCGUAGGCGGUCUGUCGCGUCUGCUGUGAAAACCCGAGGCUCAACCUCGGGCCUGCAGUGGGUACGGGCAGACUAGAGUGCGGUAGGGGAGAAUGGAGUUCCUGGUGUAGCGGUGGAAUGCGCAGAUAUCAGGAGGAACACCGAUGGCGAAGGCAGUUCUCUGGGCCCGUAACUGACGCUGAGGAGCGAAAGCGUGGGGAGCGAACAGGAUUAGAUACCCUGGUAGUCCACGCCGUAAACGUUGGGCGCUAGAUGUGGGGCACCAUUCCACGGUUUCCGUGUC
RNAcentral lists this ribosomal RNA (484 nucleotides) under uncultured bacterium. RNAcentral describes it as "partial 16S ribosomal RNA". It matches the Rfam family "Bacterial small subunit ribosomal RNA", at positions 355 to 847 of the family's 1533-position model. The record is from RNAcentral.